UCGAAGGUAGCAUAAUCAGUAGUCUUUUAAUUGAAGGCUGGUAUGAAUGGUUGGAUGAAAUAUUAACUGUUUCAUUUAAAAUUUUUAUAGAAUUUUAUUUUUUAGUUAAAAAGCUAAAAUUUUAUUAAAAGACGAGAAGACCCUAUAAAUCUUUAUAUUUUAUUUUUAUUAGUUAUUUAGAUAUUUUUAAUUAUUAAAAAUUAAAAUAUUUUAUUGGGGUGAUAUUAAAAUUUAAUAAACUUUUAAUUAAUAAUAACAUAAAUUUAUGAAUUUUUGAUCCAUUAUUAAUGAUUAAAAAUUUAAGUUACUUUAGGGAUAACAGCGUAAUUUUUUUGGAGAGUUCAUAUCGAUAAAAAAGAUUGCGACCUCGAUGUUGGAUUAA
RNAcentral lists this ribosomal RNA (382 nucleotides) under Anthomyza orthogibbus. Its description in RNAcentral is "partial 16S large subunit ribosomal RNA". The record is from RNAcentral. Lineage: Eukaryota; Metazoa; Arthropoda; Insecta; Diptera; Anthomyzidae.